UACAGAGGGUGCAAGCGUUAAUCGGAAUUACUGGGCGUAAAGAGCACGUAGGCGGUUAAUUAAGUUGGAUGUGAAAUCCCCGGGCUUAACCUGGGAGUGUCAUUCAAAACUGGUUAACUUGAGUACGGUAGAGGGAAGUGGAAUUUCCGGUGUAGCGGUGAAAUGCAUAGAUAUCGGAAGGAACAUCAGUGGCGAAGGCGACUUCCUGGACUGAUACUGACACUGAGGUGCGAAAGCGUGGGGAGCAAACAGG
Molecule: ribosomal RNA, 253 nt
Filed under: uncultured bacterium
Lineage: Bacteria
Description: partial 16S ribosomal RNA
Rfam family: Bacterial small subunit ribosomal RNA
Source: RNAcentral